CCCUUAGAUGUUCUGGGCCGCACGCGCGCUACACUGACGAAUGCAACGAGCUUAUAACCUUGGCCGAAAGGUCUGGGUAAUCUCCAAAUUUCGUCGUGAUGGGGGUAGAUUAUUGCAAUUAUUAAUCUUCAACGAGGAAUGCCUAGUAAGCGCAAGUCAUCAGCUUGCGUUGAUUACGUCCCUGCCCUUUGUACACACCGCCCGUCGCUCCUACCGAUUGAAUGGUCCGGUGAAGCGUUCGGACCGUGGCCUUUGGACGGUUCGCCGUCUGUUGGCUGCGGGAAGUUCGUUAAACCUUAUCAUUUAGAGGAAGGAGAAGUCGUAACA
RNAcentral lists this ribosomal RNA (327 nucleotides) under uncultured eukaryote. RNAcentral describes it as "partial 18S ribosomal RNA". It matches the Rfam family "Eukaryotic small subunit ribosomal RNA", at positions 1470 to 1796 of the family's 1831-position model. The record is from RNAcentral.